AGUGGGCUGGUCGGCUUGGCCCUGCAGCAUGCAGGGCUCAAAAGUCUGUGAACUGGAGCUCAUCUGAACAUUCAGGUGUCACCAAGGUGGCCAGCACUGAGCUUGGAGGAUGCAGAUCCGGGUGGCUCAUUGCUGCAACUCCUCCCCCACCGCCCGCCACACGCACUGUGUCCAGCUCUGUGGGUCUCCUCUUCCUUCACACAGUUCAGAGAGGACCCACAUGGGCUGUGAUACAUGGCUGCAUUUGCUGGGGUGCCCAGGCUCCUCCUGCCCAACAUUAGACACCCCAACACCAGAUUCUCCACUGCCUGGGAGAGGGGGGCGGGUCCUGGGUGCAGAAACAGUGACGAUGGGGACCUACCCACCCACCUACAGGCGAAGAGGACUCCUGCUUGCUUUCUCACAGAUCUGCAAAUGCAGGGAUGGAAACUGCAAGGAAG
RNAcentral lists this long non-coding RNA (440 nucleotides) under Cricetulus griseus (Chinese hamster). Its description in RNAcentral is "lncRNA (ENSCGRG00015030959.1)". Lineage: Eukaryota; Metazoa; Chordata; Mammalia; Rodentia; Cricetidae. The record is from RNAcentral.